GGAUAUUUCAGGCCUUGUGUUUCUUUGUGGAGCAAUGAAAUGUGUGGAGCUGGGUAGAGCUGUAAAGAUCUAGAAACAGAACACUGAACACCCCUUCAUCGUCUCACGCUCCCAACCACCACGGCAGGCACUUCUUUUUGCCAUUCCCAGAAGGAUCUUCUCUGGAGCCCAAAUGCUUUCUCCGAAUAUCACAUCAGAUGCCUUCUCCAAUUUGCUGGUUCUGUAAAAUGGAAAACAAGCUCAAUUCUCUUCCAAGACUCUGACUCACUCUGUAAGCUCACAGGAGAGGGUGACCUGGCCUCAAAAGGUAAGUUAUCAAAAGAAGUUAUGAGCUCGGUAUACAUGGAAGCCUUUCCACCCUUGGACACUGGGGAGGCUUAAGGAUUUAAGGAGUGGGAUCUAAAUCCAGGCUCUGUUCUAAG
This 422-nucleotide long non-coding RNA is filed under the name Mus spicilegus (steppe mouse). Its description in RNAcentral is "lncRNA (ENSMSIG00000005224.1)". Lineage: Eukaryota; Metazoa; Chordata; Mammalia; Rodentia; Muridae. The record is from RNAcentral.